This is a non-coding RNA of Camelina sativa (false flax), 332 nucleotides long. NCBI's taxonomy places the organism in Eukaryota, Viridiplantae, Streptophyta, Magnoliopsida, Brassicales, Brassicaceae. The record is from RefSeq and is a predicted model, not a curated record.
AAAUAAGUCAGUCACACACACAACACCCCUUUUUCUCCUCCCGCAUAAGAUUCCUCUCUUUCUCUCUCUCUCUGCCCAUCUGAUUCGCUGCUGACUCACACACGACACACACCUCUCUCUCUCUCUCUCCUUCUUCGCCUCCUGUAGAAGAAAACGUUUUGUUUUGUUUUGUUUUCGUUUGAUCCUCUCGUCGCGUAACUCCAAAGCUCAGGAGCCUCUCUUUAAUUCUUCCGUUUCUUCAUCUGGGUUUCUUUCUACUUGUGUGGCUUGGACAAUGGGUGCAUCAACAUCCAGAAUAGAUGAAGAUAAAGCCUUGCAGCUAUGUCGGGAAA